Molecule: long non-coding RNA, 2903 nt
Organism: Xenopus laevis (African clawed frog)
Lineage: Eukaryota; Metazoa; Chordata; Amphibia; Anura; Pipidae
Exons: 9
Source: RefSeq, a predicted model, not a curated record
CCUUUCCUCUGUAAGAAAUGCCUAAUGCCUGCAGCUCUGUUACACAAGCCUGACCCACAAAAGUUCUGGAAGUUCACAGAGGCUGGAAAUCAACGGCAGGGCAGGGCGGGUGGAGCCAGGGCAUACAUGACAAUGCACAGCUAAGACUUUGUGACAGAACACUCAGAUGAAUACAGUUGCACAGCAGCACCCGAGCUCCGUCCUCCCUUAUGGAUUCUGAAGCUUAGUGGACCGGCAGACAGCCUGUUAAUUGACCACUACCUAAAAAGUUUGACAAAUUGCAGUUGUGAGAGAAGAGUAAGAAUAUUUAUUGCAUAGCAAGAUGAAGAGCAGCUCGGUGUCUCAACAAAGCAAAGGUUCAGCAGCUACUCCAAAUUCUCCACCAAGGAAGAAAGGCAGACUGCAAAAUUGCAGAUUUAAUGAUAAUUAGCUUGCAGUUCCUGCCUUUACAUCCUGGUUGGCUCGCACAUCAGAUGAAAACUCUGCACGAUGCAUCGUUUGUGAAAGUACAUUUGGUAUAAAAUACGAUGGUGUUGAUGCAGUAAAGCAGCAUGCCACUGGAAAGAGACAUCUAUCUGCUAUGCAGAGUAAGAAGAAGGGCAGCCUCAUAACAAAGUUCUUCUGUAGUGCACAGAAUAAGGAGGAAGAUUUUCCACAAGACUCUCCAUUUUUUAAGCAAGUUUAAUGUAAAAUUAUUCAGUGAUUCCCAAAUAACUAGUAAACUGCAUCUCGGCAGAACAAAAAAUGGAGAGUCUUGUGGAAAAUGUGCUGGCACCCUAUAGGCAAAGGAUCCCCCUACCCCCUUCGAUUGUGUUUACCACCAACCUAAUAAAAACACAGAGACUUGUUAUGGUGGUAAAAUCUGUGAAAGUCACAUUUUUUAUUUAACAAUCUUAUAUUUAAAGGACUAGGUAACACCCUGACCACCAGCUGCGGCUCCUAUACUCGUAGAAAACAUGUGACUGCUGCCCAUACCGUAACCAAUCGUUUUAAGGGAGCAGGGAUCAUGGGGCAGAGCGCCCUCUGUUGACCAACGAGUAGCCCAUCCUCCUGCCUCACCAUUAUGUGCAAUAAUGGCGCUAACUCAGCCUCUCGCAUGAUUCAGACAAGACCGUGCAGUCAAAGUCUGCUCUACACUCGUGACUUCCCAAGGGUAGGCCUGCACUUCACUGAAACCGUCCAUCUUCCUGGAGCCGCACUGAUGCCAAAACCUAGGAGCCGCAGCUGUGUCAUGGGAGUACCUAUUUGACUAACACAGAUAAUGGUACCCCAGAGGAAGGCAAAAAACUCAGGUUCUUUCAGCCAAUUAGCAGCCUGAUGAAAAAUUCCUUCCUGACCCCUUCAAGGCGAUCAGUUGCGAGAACCCUGGAGCACCGUCUUUCGUAAACUUCUUCCUUUUGACUUGAGAUGGGAGAGUGGGAGAAAGAAAAAAACAAAGUUAUUUGUUGCUGCCGCUUUGCCUCUCCUUAAGAACCCCUUCCUGGCUUACCAGCCCCCUGGCUCAGCCCUCCAGCUGCCCCCUUUUUUCUGCCGAAAGUCCCUGGCCAUUGUUCUACCCACUGCAGGAGGGGGGCUGAGAGGGACCGAAACUGCACGUCCACAUCUAUGGGGGAGGAGGGACCGUGCCUAUCCUCACAUCGGCUCUAUGCAGGCCUUGUUCCCCCUUCUGUUCACUGUGCUAUACAGGAAAUGCAAGAAUAUUCUUGUACGUUUGCCAUUGCCACAGAUGCCAGGAGAAAGGGAUGGUCCUCAAAUAACAGAUGCUUUAGAUAUUCCCCAACCGUCCAAAAUACCAGACGGGCUAGACCCACCUGGCAACAGCAAGAAACCCAACACUGCAAAGACGAGCUCGGCCUGACUCCAAUCCACAGCCCAAACCACCAAGGAUAGGAGGCAGAAUCUUUGGGAACAUGGGAAGCACACGUGAAAGACACUUGGGUAUUGACCAUUCUGGGUCAGGGCUACAGAAUUCCCUUCUCAUCCCUUCCACCAAGAAGGUUCCUUGCAUCUUCCACUACCCCUCACAAGGAGACUUUACUCCAGCGGGCAGUAGACACACUUCUGACAAUAGGAGUGGUGGAGCAGGUCCCAGUAUCCCAGCCAUACAGGGAUUUCUACUCAAAUCUCUUUAAACCUUUAAACCCAAGGGUCCUGAACCAAAAAUUCCAGAUGGAGUCCCGGCCAUGGAACCGGAAAUUUUCAUGAUCUCAAUAGACUUACAGUACGUGUACCUACAUAUACCCAUCUGCUUAUGUCCUCGAGUCUUUCUCAGGUUUGCCAUCAACAACUGUCACUAUCAAUUUACAGAUUUUGUACUGCGCCACACGUUUUCACCAAGAUGCAACAAUUUAUUUUUUGUGGAUGAAGAGUUAUCUUCUAUGAAAGAAAUGCUGUCUUCCAUCUCUGAAAUAGUCAUUUUAUGAGAAGCCUGACCCACAAAAGUUCUGAAAGUUCUUGCUGGAUAUCAACUGCGGGGCGGGGUGGAGCCAGGGCUUACCUGACAAUGCACAGCUAAGACUUCAUGACAGAACACUCAGAUGAAUACAGUCUCUAGUACAGAAGCCUGACCUACAAAAGUUCUGAAAGUUCACAGAGGCUGGAAAUCAAGGGCAGGGCGGGGUGGAGCCAGGGCAUACCUGGCAAUGCACAGCUAAGACUUCAUGACAGAACACUCAGAUGAAUACAGUCUCUAGUACAGAAGCCUGACCUACAAAAGUUCUGGAAGUUCACAGAGGCUGGAAAUCCACUGCAGGGCAGAGCGGGGUGGAGCCACGGCAUACCUGGCAAUGCACAGCUAAGACUUCAUGACAGAACACUCAGAUGAAUACAGGUAACAUCACAACCAACACACUACACAUGUUCAAACAACCUAUGAGACAUUUCUUGCAAUGUAGGUUGGUUGA